CCCGACCUACGGGGCGCAGCAGUGGGGAAUAUUGCACAAUGGGGGAAACCCUGAUGCAGCGACGCCGCGUGAGCGAAGAAGUAUUUCGGUAUGUAAAGCUCUAUCAGCAGGGAAGAAAAUGACGGUACCUGACUAAGAAGCCCCGGCUAACUACGUGCCAGCAGCCGCGGUAAUACGUAGGGGGCAAGCGUUAUCCGGAUUUACUGGGUGUAAAGGGAGCGUAGACGGUCCUGCAAGCCAGAUGUGAACGGCCGGGGCUCAACCCCGGGACUGCAUUUGGAACUGUAAGG
This 290-nucleotide ribosomal RNA is filed under the name uncultured bacterium. RNAcentral describes it as "partial 16S ribosomal RNA". It matches the Rfam family "Bacterial small subunit ribosomal RNA", at positions 331 to 640 of the family's 1533-position model. The record is from RNAcentral.